Molecule: ribosomal RNA, 460 nt
Filed under: uncultured bacterium
Lineage: Bacteria
Description: partial 16S ribosomal RNA
Rfam family: Bacterial small subunit ribosomal RNA
Source: RNAcentral
CCUACGGGUGGCAGCAGUGAGGAAUAUUGGUCAAUGGACGAGAGUCUGAACCAGCCAAGUAGCGUGAAGGAUGACUGCCCUAUGGGUUGUAAACUUCUUUUAUAAAGGAAUAAAACGAGGCACGUGUGCCGUUUUGCAUGUACUUUAUGAAUAAGGAUCGGCUAACUCCGUGCCAGCAGCCGCGGUAAUACGGAGGAUCCGAGCGUUAUCCGGAUUGAUUGGGUUUAAAGGGAGCGUAGAUGGGUUGUUAAGUCAGUUGUGAAAGUUUGGGGCUCAACCGUAGAAUUGCAAUUGAUACUGGCAGUCUUGAGUACAGUAGAGGUAGGCGGAAUUCGUGGUGUAGCGGUGAAAUGCUUAGAUAUCACGAAGAACCCCGAUUGCGAAGGCAGUUUACUAAACUGUGACUGACAUUGAGGCUCGAAAGUGUGGGUAUCAAACAGGAUUAGAUACCCGGGUAGUC